GGAGGCGGCGUUCAGAAAUAGGGCGCUGGCUUUGCCAGGAGCGGCUCCUCUCCAAGCCUGGCGGUCACUGCCCUGUGUCCCCUUUUGGGCCUCUCCUGGUCCUCCUGGUUGGAUUAGGAGGCCUCUCAGCCCGGAGUCUGGGUCGCCGAAGUACAGGCCCCUUCACUGAAGCGACCCACGGCGCAGGGGUUUCUGGAAGCCAUCGCCAGGCUCCGAGUGUUCAGAUGCAGCUGCCAGGCUCAGGACGCAGAGAACUGGCUUCCAGCUCGCAGGAGCGCCUGUCCGUGGUGGGUAGGGUCGCAGGCGUGGGGUGUGCAGGAGCAGUGGGACAGCACUGAAACGCAGUCGGAAGAGAUACCACGGUGUGCAGGCACAGGGAAAAGACCACGUGAGGACACAGAGAGAAGACGGCCGUCUGCAAGCCAAGGAGAGAGGCCUCAGGUGAAACCAAACCUGCAGGCACCUUGAUCUUGGACUUCCAGCCUCCAGAAGCUUGAGAAAAGAAAUUUCUGUUGUUUAAGACACCCAUUCUGUGGUAUUUGUUCUGGCAGCCCUAACAAACUAAUAUAGGGAUCUAAAGAUUCCUUGUCUUCAUUUUGAGUAAGAGACUAUAAACUCAGAACUGUGGAGAUCUAGUUAGGUAUUGUACAGCUAGCCUCAUUCUGUCUUAAACUCCAGGUAAAAGAGAAAAAUAUGGAGACAGCCCCUGACUUUGGAGAACUUGCAGUUUUGUGGAGGUGAAAGGAGGCAGCCACAAGAAAAACCCCUGACAUCAAUUCAAAACUAUAAAUAACAAAGACUAACUUGUUCUAUGCACAACAGGUACUACAGCACUGUCCAACAUGGGGACAUGUGAGUGGCCUGAAGCAGCACAAGAACUGGGCAAUAAACUUGAGAUGAACCUCAAAGCAUCAAUAUUAUUCAUGACUAAACUGGGUUCUAAGAAUUUCUAUUUUUACUCUCAGUGUUCAGUAGAGGUCAUUAAAAAAAAAUCUAGCAAUUUUUUUUUCUAAAAUGAAUAUGUAAUAAGAAUGAAAAACAAAAAGCACUAUAAUGUUUUUAAUUAAUGAAAUGCCUUUACGAACCAAGGUGCCAUCUUGGAGAAGCUAGGCAUUAUGAGGAGCUAUCAGGAGCACAUUUGCUAACAGCUUGGCAUGAGCAGGAUUUUCUUGACCAACUGGCAAGAUGGGGCUGCUCAGCUCCUGCUGGCAGAUUUUUAUGGAGCAUAGUUUUACAAAUUCAGCCUACAACUCUGAUACGUUCCAAUGUAUUUUAAACAUCUAUUCAGUUGCAACUCUAAUCCCAGGAACCUGUGGCUAACAGAAGGCAGAUUUAACUGACUAGCAGCUGUGGGAUUUUCAAAGUCUAAACUGAAAUGAACAUGCGAAACAGUUGGACUACCCCAAAAGCUGAAUUACAAUUCCAGCACUCACCAGCUCUGAAACCUCACUUGGUUACCUAACGCCUCUGUGCCUCAGUUCCCCAGCUAUAAAAUGGAAAAGGCAACAAUACCAACCUUGUAGAUUAUGUUUUGGAUUAAAUGAGGCAACACAUACACAGCACUUAGAACGUGCAAGGCACAAUGGAAGCAUGCAGUGAACAUGACUUGUAAUGAUGCUGACUGUCAUAACUCUCAUCCAUAGGGAUGCUGCCUCUGCUUGUCACCCUUGACCUAUAUAUUUUCAGGCAGUCCUCACCCAGUCCCCAUUUGUGUGUUCUAGAUAGAAAAGGCCCCAUACUAUGAAAUGACUACUGUCCUUCUGCAUGAAGCCUGGUGAACCUGAUAAUGUAGCCUUCAAGUUCCCUUACUGAGCCUUGAGCUCCCUUCAAAGUAUCCAAGCCAACCCUGUCUUGGGAAACUCACCUAGAUAAUGCCCUGAACCCCAAUAAAGGCUCCAGCCCACAGGUCCCUCCCUCUCUCUUGGUCCCCACCCUUUGGCUGGGCAUGUGUGUCCUCAAUGUCUCCAAGCCCUUCCAGUAAGCCCUGCAAGGUGUGCUGGCCACUGUUCUCUGGAAUCUGUGAGUAAUAAACAAUCUUUUUGCCAUUCUGCUCU
Molecule: long non-coding RNA, 2054 nt
Filed under: Homo sapiens (human)
Lineage: Eukaryota; Metazoa; Chordata; Mammalia; Primates; Hominidae
Description: non-protein coding lnc-ZNF667-2:5
Source: RNAcentral